Molecule: small nuclear RNA, 102 nt
Organism: Phyllostomus discolor (pale spear-nosed bat)
Lineage: Eukaryota; Metazoa; Chordata; Mammalia; Chiroptera; Phyllostomidae
Source: RefSeq, a predicted model, not a curated record
GCUCACUUCAGCAGUCCAUAUACUAAAAUUGGAAUGAUACAGAGAUUACCAUGGCCCCUGCACAAGGAUGACACACAAAUUUGUGAAGCAUUCCAUAUUUGG